UCGGUUUUGAGUGCCUUCAGGGCAGAGACACACAGGAGGCCGUGCAGGACCACAGCCCCCAUGUCAUAGAGGAGCAACAGCAGGAUCAAGCUCCAUUUGUAGGCCUGUAGGAGACAAGGAACACUGAUAAUAAAGUACAACAAUACACGGCCCUACACGAGGAGGACCGUGUAUGGAGGCCCUCCUCAUCUCUCACAUUCAGUGCAUCGGUGUAUUUCCCCUAAUGAUCAUCACUAUUACUGUACCAUCCUCCCACCUCACCCAUCGUACCAUCCUUCCCGUAACCAUCCGUCAGUUCUCAAUCCUAUCGCCUGAAAAAAGAAAGAAGAGGAAAGGAAAAGAAAGGAAAGAAAAGACUCACCAACAGGAUUUCCCCUGGACAAAUAUUGAAUGAUGAUAAGUAGUAGUGUUCAGUGGGAUUGGGUAUGCACACAUCGUCAUUUUUCAUAAUGCUGAGGAUGUAACAGUAGAGGCAGAAGGCAAGUAGAGCCCCCAGCAGGCUGACCACAUUACUGCAUGCACAACCUCGGAGCUGUGGAAGAUCCAUCAUUGUGUCAAACAGCAAUACUGUACACUGAUUACAUCAAGGGCCUAUGAUUUUUAUUUGGGAUGUAAAACUACAGUAAUAAAAAGUAAGUAUUAUUAUUA
Molecule: long non-coding RNA, 648 nt
Organism: Scophthalmus maximus (turbot)
Lineage: Eukaryota; Metazoa; Chordata; Actinopteri; Pleuronectiformes; Scophthalmidae
Exons: 2
Source: RefSeq, a predicted model, not a curated record